CACGUAGUUAGCCGGGGCUUCUUAGUCAGGUACCGUCUUGUCUCGUUCCUGCUGAUAGAGCUUUACAUACCGAAAUACUUCUUCACUCACGUGGCGUCGCUGCAUCAGGGUUUCCCCCAUUGUGCAAUAUUCCCCACUGCUGCCUCCCGUAGGAGUUUGGGCCGUGUCUCAGUCCCAAUGUGGCCGUCCACCCUCUCAGGCCGGCUACUGAUCGUCGCUUUGGUAGGCCGUUACCCUGCCAACUGGCUAAUCAGACGCGGGUCCAUCCCAUACCACCGGAGUUUUUCACACAGGAGCAUGCGCUCCCGUGCGCUUAUGCGGUAUUAGCACCUGUUUCCAGGUGGUAUCCCCCGGUAUGGGGCAGGUUACCCACGCGUUACUCACCCGUCCGCCACUAAGAUCCUUACUUCCAGAGUGCAAGCACCCCUUCCGUCAGCAUCCCCGUUCGACUUGCAUGUGUUAAGCACGCCGCCAGCGUUCAUCCUGAGCCAGGAUCAAACUCU
Molecule: ribosomal RNA, 503 nt
Filed under: uncultured Lachnospiraceae bacterium
Lineage: Bacteria; Bacillati; Bacillota; Clostridia; Lachnospirales; Lachnospiraceae
Description: partial 16S ribosomal RNA
Source: RNAcentral